ACAGCCAUGACACCCUGGACGCACCCGGAUCCCGUCUGAUCUCGGAAGCCAGGCAGGGUCGGACCUGGUUAGUACUUGGGUGGGAGAAAUAGAGCAAACGCAUCUCCUACCUGGGAAAAGGGGCCAUGUU
This 130-nucleotide ribosomal RNA is filed under the name Propithecus coquereli (Coquerel's sifaka). Lineage: Eukaryota; Metazoa; Chordata; Mammalia; Primates; Indriidae. The record is from RNAcentral.